GGAUGUGAGGGUGGUUUGACUGUGACAUCUGUCACCCCACUGAUCGCCAGGGUUGAUUCGAAUGAUCUGGCUGUCUAGGCAGGUGGCCUCUUCCUCCAUCACUGCUCCUUGUGCAUCCCUCUUAAAGCUGCAGAAAGCUGUAUGUGUUCUGUUGCACUCUGUGGAAGAGGAUGACCACCUGGGAUAAAGGAGGAUCUUCUCCUCAGUCAAAGGUGUAUGAGUAGCUUCGCUCCCCUGCUAUCCAAACAAGCUCUCAAGAAGUCAGAAUGUGGUUGCAUUUGAGAGUGCUGUAAACUCCACUGGAAAGUAGCAUGGGGAAACUUUCUGGGCU
Molecule: small nuclear RNA, 331 nt
Filed under: Heterocephalus glaber (naked mole-rat)
Lineage: Eukaryota; Metazoa; Chordata; Mammalia; Rodentia; Bathyergidae
Description: 7SK RNA
Rfam family: 7SK RNA
About the family: 7SK was discovered as an abundant small nuclear RNA in the mid-70s but a possible function has only recently been suggested. Two independent studies have found that 7SK RNA binds the CDK9/cyclin T complex (known as elongation factor P-TEFb).
Source: Rfam by way of RNAcentral